GAUGAAGAACGCAGCGAAAUGCGAUAAGUAGUGUGAAUUGCAGAAUUCAGUGAAUCAUCGAAUCUUUGAACGCCCAUUGCGCCCGCCAGCACUCUGGCGGGCAUGCCUGUUCGAGCGUCAUUUCAACCAUCAAGCCCCAGGCUUGCGUUGGAGCCCUGCGGCUGCCGCAGCCUCCUAAAAGCAGUGGCGGGCUCGCUAUCACACCGAGUGCAGUAGAUUACUCUUCGCUCAGGGCGUGCAGCGGGUUCCGGCCGUGAAACCCCCUACUUUUAAAGGUUGACCUCGGAUCAGGUAGGAAUACCCGCUGAACUUAAGCAUAUCAAUAAGCGGAGGA
Molecule: unclassified non-coding RNA, 334 nt
Filed under: soil metagenome
Description: partial contains 5.8S ribosomal RNA, internal transcribed spacer 2, and large subunit ribosomal RNA
Rfam family: 5.8S ribosomal RNA (bases 1-120)
Source: RNAcentral